GUGUUUUCUGGGCAUAGAAUUAUAACAUCAGUGAAGAGAGAUUUUUAACUUCUUUUCCUAAUUUGAUGCCUUUUAUUUCUUUCUCUUGCCUGAUCCUCUGGCUAGGACUUCCAGUAUUAUGUUGAGUAAGAGUGGUGAGAGUGGAAAUUCUUUUCUUCUUCCAAUUCUCAAAAGAAUGGUUCCAGCGUUUACCUGUUCAGCAUGAUGUUGGCUGGAUGUAUAUCAUAUAUGUCUCUUGCUAUUUCGAGGCUGGCUGCAAGCUGAGAAGACAGGAGAGCCAAUCCGAGUCUCAAAACUGAAGAACUGGGAAUCUGAUGUUCUAUGUCAUUUCUGGAGGUGACAGCUUAGGUCUCUGAAUGACAGUUUAAAUUUCUGAUUACAGUCUUCAUGCCCCUCUUUUUGCCGUAAGUUUCCUCUAUGCAUUGUUUUAGCUGUUAUUCAAAUUUGACAUGUUGAGUUUCCAUUUUUAUUGAGCCAAAAUAGACAUCUCUGACACAUAGAUUAUCUAUAUUUGUACUAAUUUCUCAGCAUUUGGAGGUUUCUGUAUAAUUGUUCUAUUUCUGUUUUCUAGUCUAAUUCCAUUAUGUCUAUAAAUCAGACUUUGUAUGAUUUUUAACUCAAAAGUUUAUUAAGCUGUGUUUUAUAACACAAAUUGGUUAAUAUAUGUCAGGGCAGAGAUACCAUUGGGUACAUAUUAUUUUGUUCACUAAGUUUCUAAAAUUUAUAUACUUCUACAGUUGAUUUAAAUAUUUUUGAUGUACUGUAUUCUUUCUCUGUUUUGGCAAUUUUAAUGACAGAAAAGGCCUUUUAAGAUUAUGCCACUUGGUGUUGUGG
Molecule: long non-coding RNA, 834 nt
Filed under: Callithrix jacchus (white-tufted-ear marmoset)
Lineage: Eukaryota; Metazoa; Chordata; Mammalia; Primates; Cebidae
Description: lncRNA (ENSCJAG00000083245.1)
Source: RNAcentral